Molecule: small nucleolar RNA, 211 nt
Organism: Anthonomus grandis grandis
Lineage: Eukaryota; Metazoa; Arthropoda; Insecta; Coleoptera; Curculionidae
Product: small nucleolar RNA U3
Exons: 1
Source: RefSeq, a predicted model, not a curated record
AAGAUCAUAAGCACAGGAACAUUUCUGUAGUAGAUCUUCGCAUACGCUCUACUCAAAAGUAGAGUUGUCGCAUUUACCAUGAGAAUGAGACACAGUUUCUAUCUCUGAGCGUGAGAUAUGAUCUCGAUGUGUCAUUUUGUAGCGAGUCGAUGAUCGUUCUACCCAUCGACUUUUGCUGAUGGGGUAAUUAGAUUGAGACAGUCUGAGUGGU